AUUGAACGCUGGCGGCAGGCCUAACACAUGCAAGUCGAACGGCAGCACAGAAGAGCUUGCUCUUUGGGUGGCGAGUGGCGGACGGGUGAGUAAUGUCUGGGAAGCUGCCCGAUGGAGGGGGAUAACUACUGGAAACGGUAGCUAAUACCGCAUAACGUCGCGAGACCAAAGUGGGGGACCUUCGGGCCUCACACCAUCGGAUGUGCCCAGAUGGGAUUAGCUAGUAGGUGGGGUAAUAGCUCACCUAGGCGACGAUCCCUAGCUGGUCUGAGAGGAUGACCAGCCAAACUGGAACUGAGACACGGUCCAGACUCCUACGGGAGGCAGCAGUGGGGAAUAUUGCACAAUGGGCGCAAGCCUGAUGCAGCCAUGCCGCGUGUAUGAAGAAGGCCUUCGGGUUGUAAAGUACUUUCAGCGGGGAGGAAGGCGGUGAGGUUAAUAACCUCGCCGAUUGACGUUACCCGCAGAAGAAGCACCGGCUAACUCCGUGCCAGCCGCCGCGGUAA
This 506-nucleotide ribosomal RNA is filed under the name uncultured bacterium. RNAcentral describes it as "partial 16S ribosomal RNA". It matches the Rfam family "Bacterial small subunit ribosomal RNA", at positions 29 to 523 of the family's 1533-position model. The record is from RNAcentral.